GAGUUUGAUCGUGGCUCAGAUUGAACGCUGGCGGCAUGCCUUACACAUGCAAGUCGAACGGCAGCACGGGAGCUUGCUCCUGGUGGCGAGUGGCGAACGGGUGAGUAAUGCAUCGGAACGUAUCCUGGAGUGGGGGAUAACGUAGCGAAAGUUACGCUAAUACCGCAUAUUCUGUGAGCAGGAAAGCGGGGGACCUUCGGGCCUCGCGCUCUUGGAGCGGCCGAUGUCGGAUUAGCUAGUUGGUGAGGUAAAGGCUCACCAAGGCGACGAUCCGUAGCAGGUCUGAGAGGAUGAUCUGCCACACUGGAACUGAGACACGGUCCAGACUCCUACGGGAGGCAGCAGUGGGGAAUUUUGGACAAUGGGGGCAACCCUGAUCCAGCCACGCCGCGUGAGUGAAGAAGGCC
This 407-nucleotide ribosomal RNA is filed under the name bacterium enrichment culture clone ALO1_GLFRUDD03FWT1X. RNAcentral describes it as "bacterial SSU rRNA". It matches the Rfam family "Bacterial small subunit ribosomal RNA", at positions 9 to 416 of the family's 1533-position model. The record is from RNAcentral.